CGGCGGACGGGUGAGUAACGCGUGGGUAACCUACCCUGUACACACGGAUAACAUACCGAAAGGUAUGCUAAUACGGGAUAAUAUAUUUGAGAGGCAUCUCUUGAAUACCAAAGGUGAGCCAGUACAGGAUGGACCCGCGUCUGAUUAGCUAGUUGGUAAGGUAACGGCUUACCAAGGCGACGAUCAGUAGCUGACCUGAGAGGGUGAUCGGCCACAUUGGAACUGAGACACGGUCCAA
Molecule: ribosomal RNA, 238 nt
Filed under: uncultured bacterium
Lineage: Bacteria
Description: partial 16S ribosomal RNA
Rfam family: Bacterial small subunit ribosomal RNA
Source: RNAcentral